GUCCUCCCGCCACGUCUCACCGCGGUCUCCGCCACCGCUACUUGAGUGACAGUCUCCCUCGGACAUCACCCAUUGAGCAAACUUUCCGCGCGUCUACUCUCCGAUUGGCUGCGGCCACUGCCACUCUGGGAACCCAAGCCAGUCCUGUUGGAGAAGGUGGGCUUUCCCCGGUUGUCAACAUCACGCCUGCCAAUCAAAUCGUACUGUCCCCUCCGAGGCCCGGCCCUGUUCCGGAAGCGGUUAGCCGUAGAAGACUAGAAGUUCAUUGGUGGAAGCGCGCAAAGCUCUGAGUCACAGAGCAGAACCGCGACUUUAACCUGAGCCUUCUGACCCUGCUGUGGCAUGCUUUGUACCUCAUAUCGGACUUGGGAGAAGAAAGAGAGAAAACUGCAAAGGUCAAAACUGGAGAUUUGAAUAUUCAGCUAAGGAAUUGGAACCUCGUGCAGCAGUUAAGGACACCCUGAAGAUUUUUGAGCAGAGGCGUGAAAGAAUGAGAGUUAUGGUUUAGGAAGAUGCAUCAGUCAGCGGUGUAUUCAAAAGAGUAGCAUCAAAGAUGAGAAGAGUAACUGGGAAGCUAUUGUCCCAUCAAAACUGUGAAGGGGGCAACAGGGGAUAAGGACACAUAUGUAAUACCUUAAUCAAUAAAGAAAAAGAAAACUGUGAAGAUUUUUUAAAGAUA
Molecule: long non-coding RNA, 679 nt
Organism: Eptesicus fuscus (big brown bat)
Lineage: Eukaryota; Metazoa; Chordata; Mammalia; Chiroptera; Vespertilionidae
Exons: 2
Source: RefSeq, a predicted model, not a curated record